Molecule: ribosomal RNA, 769 nt
Filed under: Smeringopus lesserti
Lineage: Eukaryota; Metazoa; Arthropoda; Arachnida; Araneae; Pholcidae
Description: partial 28S ribosomal RNA
Source: RNAcentral
UUUGAAGAGAGAGUUCAAGAGUACGUGAAACUGCUCAGAGGUAAACGGGUGGGCCCUCGAAAUCCAGUCGCGGGGGGAUUCAGUCGGGAGGGCGGGAGAUGACCACAGUCGACGGACCGGACGCCGAAGCAGCGUCGGGCCGCGGUCAUUGUCUCUCGUUCCGCCCGACGCACUUCCCCCCGCGCUGCGGACGCCGCAGCCCGCCGGGGGCCGGCCAUGAGGACGCGCACUGGCAGGUGGCGGGCGCUCGUCUCCACUAGAGUCGUGCGCCCGUAAAUAGCCGGCGCGUUCCGGGCGCGGUACCCGGCGGAGGUCGAUGCUCCCCAGUCCCGGGGAGCGAGCCGUCCCCUCGAAGUUCGAGCAGGCACCGCCUCAGGCGUUGCGCGCUGAGACCGGAGACUCACCCCUGCGCGGUGACCGCCGGAGCGUGCUCGCCGUUGUCGUGGCGGGCGUCCUGCCAGGGAUCUACGACGGCUGGCGGCGAGUAGGUCGGUAACCCACCCGGCCCGUCUUGAAACACGGACCAAGGAGUCUAACAUGCGCGCGAGUCGGCGGGUCUUGAAYAGGCCCGCAGGCGAAAUGAAAGUGAAGGCGCCGCCCUAGUCGCGCGUCGAGUUGGGAUCCCCUUUUARAAGGGGCGCACCAACGGCACGUCCGUUCCGAUUUAUCGGUCGGGCGUAGCGAGAGCGUACACGUUGGGACCCGAAAGAUGGUGAACUAUGCGUGGGCAGGGUGAAGUCAGGGGAAACCCUGGUGGAAGCCCGCAGCG